GUUGAGUACAUUCCUACUCUUGACAUCCAGCGAAGCCUUUAGAGAUAGAGGGGUGCCUUCGGGAGCGCUGAGACAGGUGCUGCAUGGCUGUCGUCAGCUCGUGUUGUGAAAUGUUGGGUUAAGUCCCGCAACGAGCGCAACCCUUAUCCUUGUUUGCCAGCACAUAAUGGUGGGAACUCCAGGGAGACUGCCGGUGAUAAACCGGAGGAAGGGGGGGACAACGUCAAGUCAUCAUGGCCCUUACGAGUAGGGCUACACACGUGCUACAAUGGCAGAUACAAAGGGCAGCGACCCUGCGAAGUAAAGCGAAUCCCUUAAAGUCUGUCUUAGUCCGGAUUGGAGUCUGCAACUCGACUCCAUGAAGUCGGAAUCGCUAGUAAUCGUGGAUCAAAAUGCCACGGUGAAUACGUUCCCGGGUCUUGUAACACACCGA
This 433-nucleotide ribosomal RNA is filed under the name Shewanella sp. enrichment culture clone TTGE_LM_259. RNAcentral's name for it is "bacterial SSU rRNA". It matches the Rfam family "Bacterial small subunit ribosomal RNA", at positions 961 to 1393 of the family's 1533-position model. Lineage: Bacteria; Pseudomonadati; Pseudomonadota; Gammaproteobacteria; Alteromonadales; Shewanellaceae. The record is from RNAcentral.